GGGCCGGUAGUUCAGCCCGGUUAGAAAAUGUCCCCGGUAAGAACGUCCGCCUUACACGCGGAAGGUCGGGAGUUCGAAUCUCCCCCGGCCCACCA
RNAcentral lists this transfer RNA (95 nucleotides) under Candidatus Bathyarchaeota archaeon. RNAcentral describes it as "tRNA-Val". It matches the Rfam family "tRNA". Rfam says of the family: Transfer RNA (tRNA) molecules are approximately 80 nucleotides in length. Their secondary structure includes four short double-helical elements and three loops (D, anti-codon, and T loops). Lineage: Archaea; Thermoproteati; Candidatus Bathyarchaeota. The record is from RNAcentral.